RNAcentral lists this ribosomal RNA (2901 nucleotides) under Escherichia coli. Its description in RNAcentral is "23S ribosomal RNA". It matches the Rfam family "Bacterial large subunit ribosomal RNA". Lineage: Bacteria; Pseudomonadati; Pseudomonadota; Gammaproteobacteria; Enterobacterales; Enterobacteriaceae. The record is from RNAcentral.
UUAAGCGACUAAGCGUACACGGUGGAUGCCCUGGCAGUCAGAGGCGAUGAAGGACGUGCUAAUCUGCGAUAAGCGUCGGUAAGGUGAUAUGAACCGUUAUAACCGGCGAUUUCCGAAUGGGGAAACCCAGUGUGAUUCGUCACACUAUCAUUAACUGAAUCCAUAGGUUAAUGAGGCGAACCGGGGGAACUGAAACAUCUAAGUACCCCGAGGAAAAGAAAUCAACCGAGAUUCCCCCAGUAGCGGCGAGCGAACGGGGAGCAGCCCAGAGCCUGAAUCAGUGUGUGUGUUAGUGGAAGCGUCUGGAAAGGCGCGCGAUACAGGGUGACAGCCCCGUACACAAAAAUGCACAUGCUGUGAGCUCGAUGAGUAGGGCGGGACACGUGGUAUCCUGUCUGAAUAUGGGGGGACCAUCCUCCAAGGCUAAAUACUCCUGACUGACCGAUAGUGAACCAGUACCGUGAGGGAAAGGCGAAAAGAACCCCGGCGAGGGGAGUGAAAAAGAACCUGAAACCGUGUACGUACAAGCAGUGGGAGCACGCUUAGGCGUGUGACUGCGUACCUUUUGUAUAAUGGGUCAGCGACUUAUAUUCUGUAGCAAGGUUAACCGAAUAGGGGAGCCGAAGGGAAACCGAGUCUUAACUGGGCGUUAAGUUGCAGGGUAUAGACCCGAAACCCGGUGAUCUAGCCAUGGGCAGGUUGAAGGUUGGGUAACACUAACUGGAGGACCGAACCGACUAAUGUUGAAAAAUUAGCGGAUGACUUGUGGCUGGGGGUGAAAGGCCAAUCAAACCGGGAGAUAGCUGGUUCUCCCCGAAAGCUAUUUAGGUAGCGCCUCGUGAAUUCAUCUCCGGGGGUAGAGCACUGUUUCGGCAAGGGGGUCAUCCCGACUUACCAACCCGAUGCAAACUGCGAAUACCGGAGAAUGUUAUCACGGGAGACACACGGCGGGUGCUAACGUCCGUCGUGAAGAGGGAAACAACCCAGACCGCCAGCUAAGGUCCCAAAGUCAUGGUUAAGUGGGAAACGAUGUGGGAAGGCCCAGACAGCCAGGAUGUUGGCUUAGAAGCAGCCAUCAUUUAAAGAAAGCGUAAUAGCUCACUGGUCGAGUCGGCCUGCGCGGAAGAUGUAACGGGGCUAAACCAUGCACCGAAGCUGCGGCAGCGACGCUUAUGCGUUGUUGGGUAGGGGAGCGUUCUGUAAGCCUGUGAAGGUGUGCUGUGAGGCAUGCUGGAGGUAUCAGAAGUGCGAAUGCUGACAUAAGUAACGAUAAAGCGGGUGAAAAGCCCGCUCGCCGGAAGACCAAGGGUUCCUGUCCAACGUUAAUCGGGGCAGGGUGAGUCGACCCCUAAGGCGAGGCCGAAAGGCGUAGUCGAUGGGAAACAGGUUAAUAUUCCUGUACUUGGUGUUACUGCGAAGGGGGGACGGAGAAGGCUAUGUUGGCCGGGCGACGGUUGUCCCGGUUUAAGCGUGUAGGCUGGUUUUCCAGGCAAAUCCGGAAAAUCAAGGCUGAGGCGUGAUGACGAGGCACUACGGUGCUGAAGCAACAAAUGCCCUGCUUCCAGGAAAAGCCUCUAAGCAUCAGGUAACAUCAAAUCGUACCCCAAACCGACACAGGUGGUCAGGUAGAGAAUACCAAGGCGCUUGAGAGAACUCGGGUGAAGGAACUAGGCAAAAUGGUGCCGUAACUUCGGGAGAAGGCACGCUGAUAUGUAGGUGAAGUCCCUCGCGGAUGGAGCUGAAAUCAGUCGAAGAUACCAGCUGGCUGCAACUGUUUAUUAAAAACACAGCACUGUGCAAACACGAAAGUGGACGUAUACGGUGUGACGCCUGCCCGGUGCCGGAAGGUUAAUUGAUGGGGUCAGCGCAAGCGAAGCUCUUGAUCGAAGCCCCGGUAAACGGCGGCCGUAACUAUAACGGUCCUAAGGUAGCGAAAUUCCUUGUCGGGUAAGUUCCGACCUGCACGAAUGGCGUAAUGAUGGCCAGGCUGUCUCCACCCGAGACUCAGUGAAAUUGAACUCGCUGUGAAGAUGCAGUGUACCCGCGGCAAGACGGAAAGACCCCGUGAACCUUUACUAUAGCUUGACACUGAACAUUGAGCCUUGAUGUGUAGGAUAGGUGGGAGGCUUUGAAGUGUGGACGCCAGUCUGCAUGGAGCCGACCUUGAAAUACCACCCUUUAAUGUUUGAUGUUCUAACGUUGACCCGUGAUCCGGGUUGCGGACAGUGUCUGGUGGGUAGUUUGACUGGGGCGGUCUCCUCCUAAAGAGUAACGGAGGAGCACGAAGGUUGGCUAAUCCUGGUCGGACAUCAGGAGGUUAGUGCAAUGGCAUAAGCCAGCUUGACUGCGAGCGUGACGGCGCGAGCAGGUGCGAAAGCAGGUCAUAGUGAUCCGGUGGUUCUGAAUGGAAGGGCCAUCGCUCAACGGAUAAAAGGUACUCCGGGGAUAACAGGCUGAUACCGCCCAAGAGUUCAUAUCGACGGCGGUGUUUGGCACCUCGAUGUCGGCUCAUCACAUCCUGGGGCUGAAGUAGGUCCCAAGGGUAUGGCUGUUCGCCAUUUAAAGUGGUACGCGAGCUGGGUUUAGAACGUCGUGAGACAGUUCGGUCCCUAUCUGCCGUGGGCGCUGGAGAAUUGAGGGGGGCUGCUCCUAGUACGAGAGGACCGGAGUGGACGCAUCACUGGUGUUCGGGUUGUCAUGCCAAUGGCACUGCCCGGUAGCUAAAUGCGGAAGAGAUAAGUGCUGAAAGCAUCUAAGCACGAAACUUGCCCCGAGAUGAGUUCUCCCUGACCCUUUAAGGGUCCUGAAGGAACGUUGAAGACGACGACGUUGAUAGGCCGGGUGUGUAAGCGCAGCGAUGCGUUGAGCUAACCGGUACUAAUGAACCGUGAGGCUUAACCU